UGGUGGAGCAGCUUCAUAAUUGGGGCCACAGCAUGCAUGGGCGUAGAGCCAUGGCAAAUUACCACACAGCAAGCAGCAAAGACAAAUCAGCCUACCAGGUCACGGUAAUGGCCAGCGGUGGGAGACAAAAUAGGCCCGUGUCCUUCAUUCCUCUGUGCAUUGGCUGUGCGGCGAGCGUGGCAUGGACUGUGUCACUGCAUUCGCUUGCUGAAGAAGCGUCAUCAUCGUUCAUCAGACGGUUGCAAAGGCUCCACUCCCAGACCAGGAAUGAUGGUCACCGUUGCGUAGUAGGGUCGCCGUAAUGAUGCCUGAAAAAAAAAAGAGAGAAAAGACGUGGACCAGCAGUAGAAGAAUAGUACAGUAGCUACCCAGCAGUUACAUAGCACUUCUAGUGGAAUCUGGUUGUAAAUUCUUGGGACAGCCAUGGCGGUCGAAGAUCCUGCAAGCUGACUCCGAACCUCGAAGCCUCAGAUGCCUUACAAAACACUGUGCACCGUACUGAGCUUAUA
Long non-coding RNA from Oryza brachyantha (malo sina), 509 nucleotides. RefSeq lists it as uncharacterized. NCBI's taxonomy places the organism in Eukaryota, Viridiplantae, Streptophyta, Magnoliopsida, Poales, Poaceae. The transcript has 3 exons. The record is from RefSeq and is a predicted model, not a curated record.